UACGAAGGGGGCAAGCGUUACUCGGAAUUACUGGGCGUAAAGCGUGCGUAGGUGGUUCGUUAAGUCUGAUGUGAAAGCCCUGGGCUCAACCUGGGAAUGGCAUUGGAAACUGGCGGACUGGAGUGCGGUAGAGGGUAGCGGAAUUCCCGGUGUAGCAGUGAAAUGCGUAGAGAUCGGGAGGAAAAUCCGUGGCGAAGGCGGCUACCUGGACCAGCACUGUCACUGAGGCACGAAAGCGUGGGGAGCAAGCAUG
Molecule: ribosomal RNA, 253 nt
Filed under: uncultured bacterium
Lineage: Bacteria
Description: partial 16S ribosomal RNA
Rfam family: Bacterial small subunit ribosomal RNA
Source: RNAcentral